UACGAAGGGGGCUAGCGUUGCUCGGAAUCACUGGGCGUAAAGGGUGCGUAGGCGGGAUCUUAAGUCAGAGGUGAAAGCCUGGAGCUCAACUCCAGAACUGCCUUUGAUACUGGGAUUCUUGAGUUCGGGGAGAGGUGAGCGGAACUGCGAGUGUAGAGGUGAAAUUCGUAGAUAUUCGCAAGAACACCAGUGGCGAAGGCGGCUCACUGGCCCGAUACUGACGCUGAGGCACGAAAGCGUGGGGAGCAAACAGG
This 254-nucleotide ribosomal RNA is filed under the name uncultured bacterium. Its description in RNAcentral is "partial 16S ribosomal RNA". It matches the Rfam family "Bacterial small subunit ribosomal RNA", at positions 524 to 776 of the family's 1533-position model. The record is from RNAcentral.